RNAcentral lists this long non-coding RNA (3128 nucleotides) under Bos indicus x Bos taurus (hybrid cattle). RNAcentral's name for it is "lncRNA (ENSBIXG00005012535.1)". Lineage: Eukaryota; Metazoa; Chordata; Mammalia; Artiodactyla; Bovidae. The record is from RNAcentral.
AUGGGGGGACCUCAGCCUUCCUCCGUCCCACCUCUCCCAUCCACCUGCCACUGGCCGCGUCUCCACGCAGGUGCAGCUUGCCUGGAACGGAGGGCAGCCGCUGGCCUUGCAGCUCACCUGGGCCAACAGGUCCUCGACGCAGAGCACCUCCUGGGAUGGUUGCGUGGCUGCCUCCCUGGGGCAGGUACACAUUGCCCGCCCUCCCGACCCGGCACCGGGCUGCCCCAAACCCCGGGCCCUGUGCUGCCGCCCCUGCCCCAGUCACAUCCACAUCCUCUUCCCCGUCAGCUCCAGGACACCUGGGGCCUGGGCACCCUCAGGGCCUGUGGGGCCUUAACGCAGACCCCAGCUGUGCUCAGCGAGUGGCUGGAUCUGUCCUGGGACGGACGCCAGGUGCGGCAGAACCUGACUUACGAGAGGCGCCAGCCAUUCCUCCCGGACAAGAUCCAUGCAGAGGCCAUGCUGGAGCAUGUCCUCGGGGCCCCCUGCUCCACGCAGAGCUUCUGGGGAGACGUGGAGACAGACCAUGCCCGCUGGGUGCGCCACUCCCUGCGGCUGGGGCUCUGCCACCUGCCCACGGCACUCUCAGUCUCUGGGGAGCACACCCUGGGCAGCGGUGAGCUCCUGCUACACUCCAGAUGCCAGCUGGGCCUCGCCCCAGACCCAGAUCACGGCCUGCACCUCAGCCUGACACUCCACAACCACAGCAGGCCCCGGACGCAUGACUACUCCGGGGAGCUGGAGCUCCAUGGCCCCAAAGCUCAGUGGCUUGGCCUGCUGGGCCGCGUCUCCACCUCGGCUUCUCGAAGCCUGGUCCAGCUGGAGGGAAGCGUGGACGACGGGGAUGAGAAAGUGAGGCUGUCGGUGUCUCGGGCCCCGAACUGCCUCCAGGCCUCGGUGGCCCACGAGGAAGGGAGCCAAGAGGAGAGCGUGCUGCUGCGGGCCUGCGCCCACAGGCAGGCGGCGGAGGUGGAGGCUCUGCUCCGGGACCGAGGGCAGCCCGUCCAGCCGCUGGUUCGCUUGACCCUGCAGGCUGCCAACCAGAGCCUCCGCUUGGCCGCACGCGGCUGCCAGGGGACCCUGCUGGGCCACGUGGAGGUGAGAUGGCUGGGGGCAGGGGAGGAGUGGCCAUUCCUACCACCCCCACCCGAGCCCCACCCAAGGCCACAGGCCCAGGCUCCCAGAGUCCAGCGGAGCCAAGGAAAGUGGAGGCAGACAGCCCGUAGCGUGGCACGCAGUUUCACAGCCCUGCUGCUGGCAUCGAAUGCUUUGUGCCCGCUGCAUUCCCGGGGGGCCAGCCUGUCCCUCUGUGUCCGCAGUCCAGGGUGGCUGCUCUCGGGUCCCAGAUGCAAGCGGGGCUGGAGGAGAGGAUCCACAGCUUGGAUGCCUAUGUGAGACGGUUCCAGCGCCUGGUGCAGCCAGCGGGCGCCCUGGAUGGCAUGGCCGGCCUGCUUCUGCGGCUGUGCCAGGCGGGGCUGGGGGCCGUGCAGGAUGGUGGCAGGGCGGUGGCCGCGCUGUGGGGCCUGAGCCCCACUGGGCGGGUGCUCACCCUCCACGUGCCGCUCUCCCUGGAGAGGCUGCGGGCAGGUCUGGAGCAGCUGCGGAAGGAGCUAGAACGGCCCCUGGCCACGCUGAAGGAUGCCUACCUGGAGGUGACGGUGCAGCCCCUGGACAACGUGUGGCGGAAGCGGGCGGAGGAGGCCCUGCGGCAGCUGCAGGCCUGGGUGUCCGGGACACCGGGCACCUGGGGGUCCGGACCCCUUGGGGCAGCGCUGGAGGCCACAGGGGGCGCCCUGGAGCUGGCCGCCCACCAGAUGCUGUCUUGGGCCGACGCUGCGCUCUCACGGGCACUGAGGCGGCUCCGCAGACCCCUGUUGGACCUGUACAGCUUCUCGGCCAGGUGACUGUUCCGCUCCGAGGCCCAGCCCCACGCCAGGCACACCUUCCACCUCAUCCACUUCCCUGCCAGAGGCAUUUUCAUCCCCAUUUUACAGAUCAGAAAACUGAGGUCUGUUCUUCAUUCUGCAGAUAUUUUACAAGUGUUCUCUCUGAGCAGGUGGGGUUUUAGAUGCUGCAGACGCAGUGGUGGGUGGGACAGGUUCUGGCCCUCUCCUGGCUGCCUGGGGAGACAGUGACCAGGUUAUCUGCCCCUCGGGGGCGGCAAGCCUUCCUGUAAACGGCCUGAGAGUGAUGUGUACGGAUUUUGUAGCUAGCUGGCCCCUCAUGCAGCCUUGGUCUUUUGUUUCUGUUAAGAAUUCUUUGAACAUGUCAAAGCCAUUCUUAGCUUGUAGGCUGUCCAAAAACAGGACACAGGCUGGAUUUGGCUACAGACCAUAGUCUACCCACCUUUGAGGUAGUACGUGUGCCAAGUCGCCUUAGUCAGGUACGAUUCUUUGUGACCCCAUGGACUGUGACCCGCCAGGCUCCUCAGUCCAUGGAAUUUUCCAGACAAGAAUACUGGAGUGGGUUGCCAUUCCCUUCUCCAGGGGAUCUUCCCAACCCAGGGAUCAAACCCAUGUCUCUUACGUCUCCUGCCUUGGCAGGCAGGUUCUGUACCAUUAGUGCCACCUGGGAAGCCCCUGAGCUAGUAUGUUAUCUAACUGCCACAGGGAAAAAAGGACAUGGGGGCAUUUUUUUAACAUUAACCUUUUAAUGAAUUAUUAGUUUGGCCAAGUGGUGCAGCAUGCAGGAUCUGAGUUCCCGAACCAGUGAUUGAACCCAUGGCCCCUGCAGUGGAAGUGCGGAGUCUUAACCACUGGACUGCAAGGGAAGAUGCCGACGGGGGCAUUUUACAGAGUGAGGCCAUGGUUGGCUUCAGUGAGAAGGCAGCAUCUGAGCCUUGUAAGGGCGAGGAAGUGAGCUGGGUAUAGUCAUGGGAAGAGAGUUCCAGGAGGAGGGCAAAGCCGGCGCAAAGGCCUGGGGGAGCAAAUGCAUCUGCUGCCGGAGGAAUAUGAAGGAAGCCGGGGGAGCUGGAGCGGAGGGUGGAGGAGUUAGGGAGAUAACGGGCUUCUGGAAUACACAGGAGGUUUUGAGCUGAGGAAGGACAUGCUCUGCCUUUCAUUUAAUAAGAUCCCUCUGGCGCCCAUGUAGAGAAUAAAGACUGGGGUCAGGAAGUGGGGGAUAGAAGU